Molecule: long non-coding RNA, 393 nt
Filed under: Mytilus galloprovincialis (Mediterranean mussel)
Lineage: Eukaryota; Metazoa; Mollusca; Bivalvia; Mytilida; Mytilidae
Source: RNAcentral
AUAUAUAUAUAUAUGGUGGUGUUUAACGACCUUGACUGGCUAUACAGCCCUCGCACGGUCGGCUCGGUGCCCGAAGGCGUUUGGUGAGCUUUAUCAUAUUUUGAUGCCAUGGGUCAGGAACAAGUAGUGGAGGUCGCGAUAUGUAGGCCGCCAUCUUGGUUUUGGUGAGUUGUUUUUGGUUUGUUGACUAUUUUGAUGUUGGUUUACUUCACAACGGCUGCUUUCAGGGCCAGUUUGGUCAGCUUGGCAGCCCGCUAGCCUCGAUGAUGGAGUACUGGUAGAUGAUCUCGGACGUAGUUCGAAAGAUGACAGGAAGCAUUAUCAGGACCAAAGCCGUGAGGCAGUGAAAUGAAGGUCGUAUCACCCAACAGCCGAGGAUACAGCCCUCGGACG